UAAGGAAUAUUGGGCAAUGGACGCAAGUCUGACCCAGCCAUGCCGCGUGAAGGAUGAAGGUCCUCUGGAUUGUAAACUUCUUUUUUCUGGGGCGAAAACCAGCCUUUCUAGGUUAUUUGACAGUACCAGAAGAAUAAGCACCGGCUAACUCCGUG
Molecule: ribosomal RNA, 155 nt
Filed under: uncultured Persicobacter sp.
Lineage: Bacteria; Pseudomonadati; Bacteroidota; Cytophagia; Cytophagales; Persicobacteraceae
Description: partial 16S ribosomal RNA
Rfam family: Bacterial small subunit ribosomal RNA
Source: RNAcentral